This 467-nucleotide ribosomal RNA is filed under the name uncultured bacterium. RNAcentral's name for it is "partial 16S ribosomal RNA". It matches the Rfam family "Bacterial small subunit ribosomal RNA", at positions 28 to 506 of the family's 1533-position model. The record is from RNAcentral.
GAUGAACGCUGGCGGCGUGCUUAACACAUGCAAGUCGAACGGUGAAGCCGGAGUUUGCUCUGCUGGACCAGUGGCGAACGGGUGAGUAACACGUGAGUAACCUGCCCCUGACUCUGGGAUAAGUGCUGGAAACGGCGUCUAAUACCGGAUAGGAGCUGCGACGGCAUCUUGAGCGGCUGAAAGGGAUUUCGGUCGGGGAUGAGCUCGCGGCCUAUCAGCUUGUUGGUGGGGUAAUGGCUUACCAAGGCGUCGACGGGUAGCCGGCCUGAGAGGGUGACCGGCCAAACGGGGACGGAGACACGGCCCGGACUCCAACGGGGGGCAACGGUGGGGAAUAUUGCACAAGGGGCGAAGGCCUGAUGCAGCAACGCCGGGGGGGGAACGAGGGCCUUCGGGUGGUAAACCUCUUUUAGCGGGAAAGAAGCGAAGGGGACGGAACCGGCAGAAAAAGCGCCGGCAAAUUACUG